This 515-nucleotide ribosomal RNA is filed under the name uncultured bacterium. Its description in RNAcentral is "partial 16S ribosomal RNA". It matches the Rfam family "Bacterial small subunit ribosomal RNA", at positions 28 to 523 of the family's 1533-position model. The record is from RNAcentral.
GAUGAACGCUGGCGGCGUGCCUAAUACAUGCAAGUCGAGCGAAUGGAUUAAGAGCUUGCUCUUAUGAAGUUAGCGGCGGACGGGUGAGUAACACGUGGGUAACCUGCCCAUAAGGCUGGGAUAACUCCGGGAAACCGGGGCUAAUACCGGAUAACAUUUUGAACCGCAUGGUUCGAAAUUGAAAGGCGGCUUCGGCUGUCACUUAUGGAUGGACCCGCGUCGGAUUAGCUAGUUGGUGAGGUAACGGCUCACCAAGGCAACGAUGCGUAGCCGACCUGAGAUGGUGAUCGGCCACACUGGGACUGAGACACGGCCCAGACUCCUACGGGAGGCAGCAGUAGGGAAUCUUCCGCAAUGGACGAAAGUCUGACGGAGCAACGCCGCGUGAGUGAUGAAGGCUUUCGGGUCGUAAAACUCUGUUGUUAGGGAAGAACAAGUGCUAGUUGAAUAAGCUGGCACCUUGACGGUACCUAACCAGAAAGCCACGGCUAACUACGUGCCAGCCGCCGCAGUAA